Molecule: long non-coding RNA, 1337 nt
Organism: Octopus bimaculoides (California two-spot octopus)
Lineage: Eukaryota; Metazoa; Mollusca; Cephalopoda; Octopoda; Octopodidae
Source: RefSeq, a predicted model, not a curated record
AUUUUUAUUAUUAUUAUUAGAGAAAAGCGAGACAACGAAAUACCUCUACUUGGUAUUGUUUGUUCUUACUGGUGCUACAUCGAAUGGUGCUGCUGGUGGUGAUAGGAUUUACAUUUCGGAAUUAUUUCCCACAGAAAUACGAAGUGCCGGAUCUGGUUUUGCCACGAUUUCCGUUCGAAUCGUAGGGUUGGCAUCACCUUUCUUAAAACCAUUGGGUUUGAAUAUUCCAUGGGCUCCAGGUAUUAUAUUAGGAACUGGAUGUAUAGUUUCUGCCAUUUUACUUCAUAUAUAUCUACCAGAAACAGGAAACCUUGUUUUACCACAGAAAAUCGACGAUGUGAUUUGAUUAAGAGAUAUUGAACUGAGAGUGUAUAGCGUGUAAGAAAUGUAUUCAUUAUUGCAUUUAUAAAAUACUGAUACAUUGACAAUACCUUGCAUCAAUGCUAUAAUCUACUGCAGAAUAUAUCUACAGACUUUUGCAAACACCGUAUAAAGUAGACAAAUAUAAAUGCUUUGUCUUUAUAUUUUUCUGUCCAUGUUUAGAAGAAAUGCAAGAAAAAAAAAACAAGCAACAACAAUAAAAAAAAGCAAAAACAAAAACAAAGCAAAACAACAAACAAACAAAAUAUUUCACGUAUAGUUCAUCUUUUAAUUGUGUGUAGUUAGAACGUAAAGUGAGAAUUAUAUGUGGGAAUUCAGGCUUUUCCGCUUUUAUUAUUAAUAUGUUGCUGUUAAGGAUUGCUUUAGCCAAUUACAUAAUACAAUCUUGUAAGUCAAUCCUACUUGGAAUUACUGCAUAAUGGAGUUUAAAGAAAUGUAAUUAAAUGAGCACUUAAUUUUCGUAGAUUAUUUUUGUUAGCGAUUAUUUAUUAAUUGCAAUAGAUUUUUUAUGCUUGUAUAUAACUUCUCUAGAUGGAUAUAUCUGUCCAUGAUGACAACGGACAAGACAUUUAUAUCUGUCUAUCACACCUAAAACUUAAAGGAUACACUCUAUAGUAUAUAACAGUAUAAUGAAAAUGACGAAUAAUCGCAUCUGUAAAUACAUCAACGACUUAUUUGUGGAUGUCGAUACCAUAUAGAACAACGGUUCAACUACUUUUCCCUAUUUGAUUAUUAAUUUUUUCUGGUGGACCCCCAUAACCACAUUAUGUAUAAAAACUAGUUUUAAAGAAACUUCUUUCAAAGUUCCUAUUUUUUAAUCACACAUUCCCUUGUGUAAGUUUGCAAUAACAAUCUCUGAGAGAACAUAUUUUAGUGGCCGAAAACAUGUUGAACAAUCUAAAGCAUCAGAGAAAGAAAGCUACUUGUUUCUUGCAAUAAAUUCAACUAAAGCAAAA